This 406-nucleotide ribosomal RNA is filed under the name uncultured bacterium. RNAcentral describes it as "partial 16S ribosomal RNA". It matches the Rfam family "Bacterial small subunit ribosomal RNA", at positions 30 to 526 of the family's 1533-position model. The record is from RNAcentral.
AUUGAACGCUGGCGGCAGGCCUAACACAUGCAAGUCGAACGCGUGGCGGACGGGUGAGUAAUGUCUGGGAAACUUCCCGAUGGAGGGGGAUAACUAAUGGAAAAGGUAGCUAAUACCGCAUACCCUCGGAUGUGCCCAUAUGGGAUUAGCUAGAGGGUGGGGUAAAGGCUCACCUAGGCGACGAUCCCUAGCUGGUCUGAGAGGAUGACCAGCCACACUGGAACUGAGACACGGUCCAGACUCCUACGGGAGGCAGCAGUGGGGAAUAUUGCACAAUGGGCGCAAGCCUGAUGCAGCCAUGCCGCGUGUAUGAAGAAGGCCUUCGGGUUGUAAAGUACUUUCAGCGAGGAGGCGUUACCCGCAGAAGAAGCACCGGCUAACUCCGUGCCAGCAGCCGCGGUAAUAC